Molecule: ribozyme, 75 nt
Filed under: Crocodylus porosus (Australian saltwater crocodile)
Lineage: Eukaryota; Metazoa; Chordata; Crocodylia; Crocodylidae
Description: Mammalian CPEB3 ribozyme (ENSCPRG00005002738.1)
Rfam family: Mammalian CPEB3 ribozyme
About the family: The mammalian CPEB3 ribozyme is a self cleaving RNA located in the second intron of the CPEB3 gene which belongs to a family of genes regulating messenger RNA polyadenylation.
Source: Rfam by way of RNAcentral
UCACAAAUUCAAGGCCAUAGCAAAAGCGCUUGUGGCAUGGUCCUGUCAAAUUCUAAUGAAUCUGCAAAUUCUGCU